UACAGAGGGUGCAAGCGUUGUUCGGAAUUAUUGGGCGUAAAGCGCGUGUAGGCGGCUUUGCAAGUCGGGUGUGAAAGCCCUCAGCUCAACUGAGGAAGUGCGCCCGAAACUGCAGAGCUUGAGUACCGGAGAGGAUGGCGGAAUUCCCCAAGUAGAGGUGAAAUUCGUAGAUAUGGGGAGGAACACCGGUGGCGAAGGCGGCCAUCUGGACGGAUACUGACGCUGAGACGCGAAAGCGUGGGAGCAAACAGG
RNAcentral lists this ribosomal RNA (252 nucleotides) under uncultured bacterium. RNAcentral describes it as "partial 16S ribosomal RNA". It matches the Rfam family "Bacterial small subunit ribosomal RNA", at positions 524 to 776 of the family's 1533-position model. The record is from RNAcentral.